RNAcentral lists this ribosomal RNA (253 nucleotides) under uncultured bacterium. RNAcentral's name for it is "partial 16S ribosomal RNA". It matches the Rfam family "Bacterial small subunit ribosomal RNA", at positions 524 to 776 of the family's 1533-position model. The record is from RNAcentral.
UACGUAGGGGGCUAGCGUUGUCCGGAACCAUUGGGCGUAAAGCGCGUGUAGGCGGCCCGGUAAGUCCGCUGUGAAAGUCGGGGGCUCAACCCUCGAAUGCCGGUGGAUACUGUCGGGCUAGAGUACGGAAGAGGCGAGUGGAAUUCCUGGUGUAGCGGUGAAAUGCGCAGAUAUCAGGAGGAACACCCAUUGCGAAGGCAGCUCGCUGGGACGUUACUGACGCUGAGACGCGAAAGCGUGGGGAGCAAACAGG